This 7442-nucleotide long non-coding RNA is filed under the name Oryza brachyantha (malo sina). RNAcentral describes it as "long non-coding RNA (OBRA_LNC002719)". Lineage: Eukaryota; Viridiplantae; Streptophyta; Magnoliopsida; Poales; Poaceae. The record is from RNAcentral.
GCGCCGGCCAGCCUCGCCAGCGCCGCCUCCAGCUCCCGCCGCAGCCGCUCCUCCCGCGCCGCCGCCUCCGCCACCGCCUUCUCCAGCUCGCCGUUCCUCCGCCGCAGCACCUCCUCCGCCUCCUUGGCGUCCAUGGCGGUGGCGGUGGUGGUCGCGGCGGACACCUUACCCCACAUCCUCGUUGAUCAAGCCAGCGUGCGUGGCGCGUGUCACGAUGUUAACGAGGUAGGUUGAAGAAGCUGACCGUGAAGUACGUCGUGGCGUAUUAUUUUGGUCUGGUUCUAAUGUGUUGGUCUCCUUAGGGUUUAUAUAGUAGGGGAAGGAUUCAACUGGUGAACUUUUGUAAUUUCCCCCCGUUGAAAACUUUUUCUUGACAAAUUAACUACCGGCAAAACCUUUUCAAAAAAUAGACGAAUUCGUAAUACUUGGUGUAUAUUGCUUCUGUUCCAUAUUGUAAGAUUUUCUGAUUUUGCUUGGAUUCAUAUAUGUACUAAUAUGUCUAGACAUAUAUAUAGAAAACAUAUGAUUUAAUUGGAGUUGGAACUGUGAGCUAACCAGAGACCUUCCUACCCUCACGAUUCGGUUGGACCAUUUGGUUGCACUGCAGCUUCACUGAACUAGGAUACAAGAGCUAGAGCACUACCAAAUACUACCUCCUUUUCAUAGUAUAAAACUUUCUAGCGUUGUCUAAAUUUAUUUAUUGAUAAAUAUAUAUAAUUUAUAUAUGUGUCUAGAUUUAUUAGCAUCCAUAUGAAUCUAAGCAAUGCUAGAAAGUCUUAAAUUACGAAACGGAGAGAGUACCAAACUUGGUAUUAGGAUCUAGUGUGUAGUGUGUGUAUACUAUCACAAGUGAUGCUUUGUGGAGCCUUAGAAGCUCUAUGGAGCAUCUUACGUCUUAAACUACUCCAUAUGUUACAUAUUAUAAUACCUUUUAAUCUUUUUUAAUUUUUAUCAAAUACAUAUAUAUUAAUUUAUUAGCAUAUCGCCCAUGCGUUACAACGGAAUUUUAUUAAAAAUAUCAUUAACAUGUUAAUAAGUAGAGUUAAUAAAAAUGGUUUGAUAUAUAGAUCUUAAUUAUUUUUUCUUUUAAAAGAUGGGAGGGAGUUGGUGGUGAGGUAGGUGGCAGAUUCACCACCACCCACCACCACUACUCAUCUUUAUAGUAGUAUAGAUGAAUGAAUCUAGACAUAACUAGAAAGUCUUAUACAAAUGAAUCUAGACACACAUAUAUGUAUCCUCAAAUCCGAGUCUAGUUAUACUGUAAUACUACAGAGAACCACUGUUCAUAUGAGUUGAACGGUAAAUAAAUGUCUUGAACAGUGACAAAAUUCUAUAGCAGCAACACAUCUAAAAUAAGGUUAACUACCAUAGUAAAUAUUGUAGAGCUAAAUCUCUACCAUCUGUUUUGAUCAAAUGGUUACGAAAUAUGUCAAAUUUGUACUAUUGUAGUUCUCUGUAAUAACAUGAUGCUACUGCAGAGGAUUUUAUUCCCCUCAUAUCCCACAAUACAGUGAUAGGAACAUAUCACAGUGCUGUGCCAAUUUUUCGAAAGAUCCUCGCAACUUUUAGAAAGGUUUUGAAAGGUCCGUUUUCAAAAGUAGUGUCCAGUGGUUCAUUUACAAAAAAAUGAUUUGCGGAAGGGCUAAGUUGCGAAAAUUACUCAUGCAGCGUUGAGGCUGUGAAGGACGCCGAGAAGGCGUCUAGGUUCAAUGAACCGGUCCGGCAAUCCAGAGGUGUCGGUGUAAGCGGCAUUUUCAAAAGCUUACAUACAAGCUGAUGCCAUAGUUCCAUCCAUCGCUGCAAGACCUUGCCGGUACGUCUCUCCCUCUCCUAAUGUCUUCCUCCUGAUUCAUUUGGAGAGAUGAAUCGGUGAAUGUGACUGGAUAGAUACUACUACUCCCUAUAUUCCAUGAAGUAAGACUUUUAGAUUCAUAUUAAUGCUAAUGAAUCUAUAUAUAUAUAUAUAUUACAUAUAUUUAUCAAUUGAUAAAUUUAGAUAAAACUAAAAAGUCUUACAAUAUGAAAACAGAGAUAGUACCAGUUAUCCAAGAGUAUGGAUCAUGGAGAUUUUACCACACCAAAGAAAAAUGUGAUAACAUGGUCUUCUUUUUUUAAAAAAAUAACUCCAUUGAAACAGUAAAAGAACCGUGAUAUUUUGCUCAUGCAGUACACACAGUCUACUCAUUCGUUACUUUUUGAGUUUAUAUGUAUUCAUCCAUAUAUCAGAUAUAUGUAUAUAUUUUUAUAUGUGUUUAGAUUUAUUAACACACAUAAAUAUAAGUAAAAUCAGAAAGUCUAUUAAACAGAGGAAACAUUUCUUUUCAAAGAAUAGACAAAAGAUUUGCACACGUAGAAAGAUGAUACAACAUGACGGAAAAAAAUUAUCUGGAGCAGAGCACCACUCCUCACCAUGGGUAGAUCGUAGGUUGUCGUGUAUACCCCCACAACCUACCCUCUGUCCCUACCAAUUAUCACACUGAAAGCAGCUGCAAAGCCCCUAUGUCCCUAUCCAUUAUCACAUUUUUUUCUGGUAAGAAUCCAUUAUCACAUUGAAAGCAGCUGCAAAGCAAACGUCCUCAUGUCUCUCUAUUUUCUUCAUACGAAUUACUCGUUCUCUAAUCCUCUGCUUGCUGGGAUUCGAAUUUCCAAAAAAUGAAUUUACAUAUGAUUUUGAAGCUUUUAAUUGUACUAUACUUUUGUAUUAUAUUUUAAAUAACAAAUAAUACAUGUAUAAAUGUUUUGUCUAUAACCCUAGAUCGGCGUUGAUCAACGAAAACAAUACUUUAGGGUCUCUCUGAACGAGUUCUUUUUUGAGCCACCCUUACUGGUUGGAUCGUACGGUACCAAUGGAGUUUGAUGUUCUGAAUUUGGCUGCGUGCGUGAUGCUGAUAAGUAUAAGGAGAGCAAGCGAAAGGCACAUGCUGCUGCCUACUGGUACUUGUACUACGACAGUCGACAAGAUUUCACCAUUUCUUUGACGGUGAGGUGCUCACCAAUAAUCGGUUAUCGGUCCUUAAAAUAUAGGAACAAAAGUCUUGUUAUAGAAAAGUGUAAGUUUAUGAAAAAAAAAAAAGAUAGUAGUAUUCCUUCGUAGUUGUUAAACUGAGAUCACCUGCAGCCACGGUUUUGUUUAUCGUUUCAUAAGCCGAAACUGUGCGCUGGUGAUAUCGGUAAUAAUCAUGAUAAUAGUAAAACACUGUAUAAAUUUGAAUUUAAUUUUUUUGAAUAAAAUCUUUGUGGUUUUGAGGGUCCAACCGCGUGGUAGGGAGCGAUUGGGACAUGAUCUCUAUGUUUCAUGAGUCACCCAUGGUGACGUAUUAUUUGGGUUCCUACAUCUCAAGACAUGCAAAGUGUACCAACGUGGCAUGUGGUUUUAACCCACCAUGUCGAAGCCGUUGUGCUAAGUGAACAUGGACCGUGCCCGUGUAAAGGCAUGCGCGCCCUGUAGAGGCCAGUGGGCUUGUUAUACCGAGCCUUUCUAUAGGCUUAGGAAGCAAGAGGGAUGAGAGGAAGGUGUCGAUGUAGACCUAGGGAAGAGGCCCUAAUGAUUAAGUUGUUGCACCGAUGAGUUCCAUGAGGACGAUGUCGCCACCUUUACCGAACUCCAGAGAGAGUCUCCUAAGCCAGAAGCUCACUGGAAUCGCCUUCGAUUCUUCCCGUUGCGGAGGUUGGCCCGCACUGAGCUAGCUCUCUCGUCCGCCAAGUUGGCCACCUCUGAGCUCACCAGCCAAGGUUGACCUCUUGAGUUUGCUGCCUCCGAGCUCGUUGGUUAGACUUUGGUUAGAUUUGGCAACCCACGGCCAGUUAUGUCAGCUAGGGAGGGGGAAAUGAGGGGUGCUGACAAGGUGAGUUGAGGGGGGAGGUUGGGUUGUGUGAUGAGGAAGGAGAUGAGGGAGCUGGUGGAGGUGAAGAAGGCAGCGGCGUAACACAAAGGAAAGGAGAUGGCAAUACAUGAUCUUUGGGGUGGAGGGCUGGGGUCACUUUAUUUUUAUUUCUUAUUUUCAAGAUGUACAAUGUAAAAUUUUUGUCUUCUUUAUAAAAUGAGAAAAAUACGAAGACUAUAUUAGAAAUUUAUAGAGAUUGAUACAGAAAAUUAAAUACACUGCUUAAGCCACUUUACAUUGUAAAAAAAGAAAAUGAUAUUAUCCUAUAUGUCAGAUUAUCUCUCCUCACUACUCGAUAAGGAUACAUUUCAUGCCCCCAAAAAAACAUAUCUUGCUUCCUGCCGAAAAUGAUGCUGCCUGCGGCAAUGGGCGGACACCUUUUGUUAGGCUUUUUUAACUGUCUGCUUGCGAUGUCGCUUGUGUUAAAGCUGGCACGUUCUAGGCCAUUCUGGGUUGGAAGAGCUAGAUGUGGCACUGGCUGAGUGUAUCAUAUAGACCAACACCCAUUUCUACUCUUACUUAUAAACCAAAUUUUAAAUUUUUAAUCUUAAAUUUAGAGUUGAUUUUAGGAUUUUUUCGCCGAUGCUUAUUUCUUAGCAUUGACUUUUAGAUCGCUAAGAAUACACAUAUAAAAGUUUUAUUCACAAACUAUUUUUUUCCAAAUAUCUUGUUUGGAUUUUUCUACGGAAGAGCCAAACAAUUACCCCCAAUAGAAUACCUCCCUUAUAGAUUAAAAAUACAUCCCUUCUCUUUUAUAAUACUAGUGGUUUUAAUUUUUAAUACCAACCCUAUGCGCUUUCGAUUUUAAUCCUUGUUUUUUUCUAAUUUAUGUGAAAGUACAAGCUUUUAAGUUGAACACCCUAAAAUCUAUAUAAAAAAAGAGUAUAAAAAGCUCCAUUGCGCAUCUCUGUCUUGCCCUCUCCCUCACUCUUGGCUUCCGCGUCGGUGACCCUCUCUCCUCUCUCUCAUUCGCCACGGUGAGAAGAGGUAGGGUCGUCUAGUAUAAAUGAGUAGUCAUAAAGAUACAAAUAGAAAAAGCUUAGGACAUAACAAUUUACCAUGGUUCAGGCACUUAAGAUAGAUAAUAGCACCGAUCCAAUUUAUAUGGAUCAUAGAUGAUGAAAUCACACCAAAUAUAAUGUAUGAGAAGUGUAUACCUAGCCUAGCAACCAAUCUUGUUAGGAAGUCGGAAGCUAUUUAGUAUUCAUCAUUAAAAACAUAUUUUGGCCAUUCGAGACUAUAUAUUACUCCUUCUAAACAAUUACUGUAGUUUAUUAUCAGACUUGGAUGUUAUAAAUUUUGUACCCUCUACAGUGAAAAUAGACUAUAUAUAAUAUCAUUAUAGGUACUAUGAAUUUAUAGCCUCUGUACACGAAGAAAACUCUGAUCCUUCCUGCUACUUUCUCCGUCGAAGGCCGAUAUCCGAGGGAGUACAUCUUAUUUUUACUAUUUUUCAUGCUGAUAUUGAGCAGGUUGCAUGGCAAAGUCUUGCCAUUCCUUUCUUCUUAUUUUAGCAUAUGGUGCAGUCGUUUUAUGUCGAUUUGUGGGGUAGCCGAGGUCGUAUCUCAUACAGUUUCAUUUGUGUGCCUUCUGGACUUUCUGUGUUCACUAGUUUUGAUUUCAUUUUCGUUAUCUUGUACCUCGGUUACAUACAUCAAUCUAAUAUGUCCCCAAGGGUGAAUACGAUCUCUGAAUUUUCGCUUCAGUGUCAAUUUAGCCCCUAACAUUUCAUAUUAUGCAGAGAAGUCACUAAAGUUUGUUACUUGACAUAUCGUGUUCUUUACCUCUUCUUCCCAAUCUAUAUUCUCUUGUUUCCGCACAUAUGCUAAAUGACGAGUUUUUUGAAAAAAAAUUCUAUAAAAAUGUUAUUUUAAAAUAUUAUAUCGAUCUAAUUUUUUUGUCAUUUUAUAGCUAAUAAUCAAUUACUUAUAAGUUCAUUCAUGAUACAUUUUACGUACCGGUCAUCAACCCCAACUAUCAAACCUUGGCCUUAAUUUAGUCUCAGAGCCUACUAAAACACCACAUAGAGAUGCCACCUCAUCCACAUAUGCAAAUUCAACAUUUAAAUACCCAUUCCACCCUUUCAUUUUUUUCCAUAGGAAAUAAAGAAAAACAAUGGAGAACAAAACAAAUAAUUGGAAUUAGCAAUUGAUAAAAAGAAUAUCACAUUGGUAAUUAAUAAAUUAAAUAUGAAACAUUUUCCAUUUUCUUUUGCUCCCUUUGAUUUGUCCUAUUUUUUCUAUAGCAAUUUUGAGAGUAAAAUGGGCAUUGACUUUACAUGCGCAAAUAGUGUCUCGCACUCACAUGGUGUUUUCAGUGGUUCUAAGGACCAUAUUAAACCAUAUAAAAAUAAUUGGAGACUUGUUUAGACAAAAAUAAACUAGGACUAACAGGACAUCGGACCAAAUUGGCUAUUCCACCUAUCCUAAAUAAUAAAUGUGGAUCAGAUCUGGAAAAUGUGAAUCAGAUCUGGAAGAAUUGAUUGAGAUGGCUGCGUACAAUCGUAAUACUCUACUUCUAAAAGUUUUAAUACACUUAGAUUUAUUAGCACAUAAAUGAAUAUAUGUAAAAACAAAAAGUCUUAUAACGAAUAUUACGUAGGAAUAAUAUGUAGGAGUAGUAUUUGGUUGGUUUCAUGUCGUUGUCUGAAUAUUAUUUUUACUGCUCAUUUUAUUUGCUGCUCUAAGAUUAGAUUAACUCUAGUACCGUUUCUAAUUGGUGGUUGCCCUGAAAGCACGUUACAGAUUAUUUCCAGUUUUUUGGGAAAAAGACGGAUCUUGAUUUGCCCAAAACCAGGCCAAUUAGUGCCAACAACAAGGUCAAUUCAGAAGGCUCAAGUCGCGUUCAAGCUUCAACCUUUAAUCCAAGUCGAGUUUUCUCCCAAUAAAUUAAAGUCGACGAACAGUUCUUGGCCCUGUUUACUCCCGACAAUUACAGCUUUUGGCCUUUGGAAAUCUGAACGAUCAGCAUCGCCUGAUCUCUUUCAUAAUGUACAAUCUCAGGUAAAUUUCUUUCUUUAAUUCACAUAUCCAAACACACAGCAGCUUCUUCAUGCCAUCGAUCGAUCGGAUUAACGCAAAGAAGAAGAAGAAAAAAAGAAACGUACAUGGUUCAGUGAGAGCUGGUCGACGGUCAGUCUGUGCCGGCGGCGAGGGCGCUGCGGCGGUGGCCGGAGGAGCGGAGGACGGCGUCCAUGAGGGCGAGCCGCUCGGAGANNNNNNNNNNNNNNNNNNNNNNNNNNNNNNNNNNNNNNNNNNNNNNNNNNNNNNNNNNNGAGCUGCACGCACAGCCGCUCCUCGGCCUCCUCCGCGACGGCCAGCCUCGCCAGCGCCGCCUCCAGCUCCCGCCGCAGCCGCUCCUCCCUCGCUGCCGCCUCCGCCGCCGCCUUCUCCAGCUCGGCGUUCCGCCUCAUCGCCUCGCUGGCGUCCAUGGCCGCCGCCGUCCUAUCGAUCGUCCUCACAAUACACAAUGUACAGUGUCGCAAGAACGGCCAAGGUUCAAAGCUGCUCCGGGUCUCUUCACAUUUUGGUCUCCUUUUAAAGGCGGGAAAAUGGGUGC